Bicyclus anynana (squinting bush brown) is the source of this 3853-nucleotide RNA transcript. RefSeq lists it as uncharacterized. The record is from RefSeq and is a predicted model, not a curated record. The transcript is spliced from 9 exons. NCBI's taxonomy places the organism in Eukaryota, Metazoa, Arthropoda, Insecta, Lepidoptera, Nymphalidae.
AGCUGCCCUGUGAUGCUUCAUCGCUCAUUUGAAAAAUACUUUUCUGCAAGAUGGGUGAAAAAUUAGAUCGAGAUAUUACUGUCACAAAAAGUGAGGCUUUUAGUCAACAAGCAAAAAUGGUUGACCACGGAGCACGACCACGACCAAGGUUGGUUCUGGAGCAGUGUUGUUACUGCUGCAUCCCUCUGAGGAUCGGGAGCCUUAUCCUCGCUUACUUGUUUCUGGUUGGCGACAUUGUGAAUAUAAUUCUUUCAAUAACGGGAUUUUACUCCCUUGUCAGUAUUUUACUGACCGUACCGGAAAAUUACAAAAGCUUUGUCUUGAAAUACACAAUUAUUGGAGGUAUAGACAUGGUUGCCAACCUAAUUGAGUUGCCAUUUGUCGUACUUCUGCUCAUUGGAUUGCAUAAGGAGAAAUCGAAGUACGUCGGAGUGUUCCUCGUAUUCCUGGUAGUAAUUACUGUACUAACGCUCGUGCAACGGAUUGUAAGCCUGUCUCUCUCCACACCCUCAGUUGCACAUAUUUUGUGGAUUUUUGUGGCCUUGGUACAUAUAGCGUUCAACGUGUAUUAUAUCGUCGUGUUAAGGAGCCAUUACCUGAACAUGGUGGAGGAUGCCAAGAAUCUACCCCCACCCUCGGCUCAGCAGGCUUAACUCCUCUCCAACUCCAGGAAGCUAGUACUUGGAACAUCUAUCGACCUAUCUAAGGAAACCGACAAAUUUGGGCCCAGUUCGAUACAGAAAAAAAAAUAACGAAAAAUCCUCUCAUCAUUAACAACUCGAAUUUAGAAUUUCUGCAACGGUUCCAGUCAAAAAUGCUGCACAUGAUUACCAAUGCUCCUUGAUACGUCAAAAAUGAUCGCCUGCAUCGUGAACUAAAAAUUAAGACUAUAAAGACAGAAGUUGCAGACUCAAUGAAAACAUACCAAAAGCGUAUUCGUAAACAUCCAAAUCAACUUGCAAGGAACCUAAUGAUGAAGAAACCUGGUACAACUUUCAAAAGGCUCAAGAGACCGAGCACCACAAGAUGUCAUGAAAUAGACACUACAUUAUUAUAUUUGGGCAAAUCACUGGAUUUUGCACCUAAGUAGUUUAUAAGUUUGACGUACGUUAGCUACCUAAUAGAAUUGACAUGAAACUAAUAACAACGGCAUUUUUUGUAUUCCGUAAAGUUUAUUGUUAACGACUACCUACUGUAUGAUAUCCACGAAGUCAGUAGGUACUUGAAUGAUAUUUUUAACCGAAUUAGAAAAAAAAGGAGGAGGUUUCUCAAUACGUUUCUUAAUUUUGUUAUAAAUUAAUACGUCACUAACUUGGUACCGCCUUCAAAGUAAUCAGAAGGUACCGGAAGGAAGUGAUCAUACGAUGUUAUUUUUAGCUUUUUAGUUUAGUGAAACAUUUUUGGGAUCUUGAAGGUAGUUGGAUUUUUUUAAUGAUAUUUUUGUUCUUUUAAUUUAAAUGAUUACUUUUACCAUUACACCAAUCAAGACAAGGUAAUUUAAUUAAUGCAGAAAACUACGAAUUUUAGACUGGACAGUGAAUCCAGUCUAAAAUUCGUAGUUUUCCGCAUUAAUUCAGCUACAGUUUGCGGUUUUCCUACAAUUCUGGCGAAUAUUUUAGGGUUUCGCGUUUUCCAACUAUAUAUAGGUAUACCUGCUAAUUUAUUUGUUUAAUAAAAUUAUAAUUUUUACAAUUCAAAAUUGGAAAUUAAUUUUUGUUUAAAAAAUAUAUGGAAAGCGAAAGCAGAAUGUAUAAUGGAGAAUAUAGACGAAAAACUACAACCAAUCAUAGCAAAAAUGAAAAUUUAAUAACAAAAAUUUUGAAAUUUUUGUAGAGAUGGAUAACCUGAAAAGAGAAAAUAAAUAAAAUAAUUUAAUGAAGAAGCUUUGGGAGUGAAAAAUAUUAUAAAGCUCGUCAAUUGAAAGUAAUUUCAAGUCAAUUGAAUGUAAAUUCCAUUUAUAUUUAAAUGUCAUUUACAUAUCUGUAAACGACAUUUAAAUAUAUUACGAUCGAUCAACAUUUCUAAUUACUAAUUAUUUAAUUACAAUUAACGGACGACUGAUUUACAAACAAAUACCAGACCACGCAUAACUUUUUACCAAGUGGUCCGAUUUUGAUAAUUCGUUUUUUAUUGUAAAGGGUAUUUAUACCCUAGGGUAGGAACCUUCCCUUACUGCACCGUCAAUGGGAUCACAGCUUCCAUUAUAUACAACAUUCAUUAGAUGUUCGGCGCUUUCAUAGUUGAAUGAUCUUCAGUAACGUUACUUAGUUGCUAUAAUAGUUAAUAAUUAUCCUUGUACGGAACCCGUGGUGCGCGAAUCUGAUUCGUACUUUUCGGUAAUUAAUAGUAUAUAUUAUCAUACAUGUACGAGUAUUCUGUACUAUUAUUAUUAGUGGUUAGUGUUAGUUAGUGGCUCAUCUCAUUUGAUGCUUCAUCGCUUAUUGACAUUUGAACAUUACUUUUGUGCAAAAUAGCUGACAAUAGCUGACAAAUUAGAGAAAGAUAUUACUGUCACAAAAAGAAUGGCUUCUAAUCAUCAAGUAUUAACGACCCAGUCAAGACCAAGAUCAAGUUCGGAUCAGGAUACCUGUUGCUGCUGUAUUCCAUUGAGGACUGGAUGUCUCAUCCUCGCGUACAUGUAUCUGGUCAAAAACAUUGUGAAAGUAUUUGUUUUGAUUCCAUUAGCUGUAAAUAUAGUUCAAGAAGUAAUUGCGUCACUGGACAACCAUGAUAUUCACGAAGCUACGUCAUAUGAUAACAAAGAUUUAUUUUAUAAAAACGAUGAUACUCACGAAGUCGUAAUUGGGUCAUAUAUUUGUCUUGGACUAUUCUCAGUUUUCUGCAUAAUGGAGUCGACAUUUAAUGUACUUCUUCUCAUCGGACUUCAUAAGGAAAUAUCAAAAUACGUAAGAGUGUUCUUCAUAUAUCAGGCAGUAAUCAUUGUCCUGAUGACAAUAAUUGUUAUAGUAAUCCUGGUUGUAAUGUUCGCACCAAUCGAAGCUAUCAUUGGGGUGGCAAUUAACGACAUAAUACAAAUAUCUUUCGAAGUAUAUUAUAUCUUCGUAUUCAGGAGACAUUACCUAAACAUGGAGGAGAAUAAACAGAACCUGAUGGUUGGUUGGCAGGGAUAACAUCACCCCCCAACUUUAAGAUGCCUAAUACCUACGCACGUGCACAUCUACGACUGGUCUGCGAGAAAAAUAAUAUAUUUUUUUUCUAUUAUUAUCUUUUAAAAGUAAUUUGUUUUUGUUAACUAUUGUAUUGUGUAUGAUUUCUAGUUUGUACUCGUAUAUUCUUAAUAAAAAAAAUUCAACCGCAUUCAAAAACAUAAAACGUACCGACUAAACUAAAAAGCGUAAAAUAAUAUCGAAUUAUGUUCUACCUACUGAUCAGUUUGAAGGCGGUGCUAACCCGGUGAUGUACUAAUUCAAGCCAUGACAGAAUAUCAUAAAGAUAAAGGUUUUUAGAUUGUGUUCUUUCAUGUAGCUCUUGAAACGGCUUAAAUUAAUACGAAUUUUGAAAGUUCCCCUCGAUUUCUUCAGGAUCCCAUCAUCAGAUCCUGACAUGAUAAAAUGUUCAAAUCGGUCCAGGCGUCUUCGAGUAAUCAGGUAACAUACAUACAAAAAAAACAUACACUCGAAUUGAGAACCUCCUCCUUUUUAUGAAGUCGGUUAACAAUAAGAUGCUUUUUUUAAAAUUUGUAUUGAAUUGUCAUGUAUUUAUUUUUUUAUUAUAUCAACAUCUGUUACGUAGCGUUGCUUCAGUUUAGUCGAUAAGCGGCAUAUUUCUUCCAUUCUACUUAUCUUAAUAUAGUAGUUUUAAGCGAAAACUAUUUAAUAAAAGAUCAUCAGCU